Molecule: ribosomal RNA, 501 nt
Filed under: uncultured bacterium
Lineage: Bacteria
Description: bacterial SSU rRNA
Rfam family: Bacterial small subunit ribosomal RNA
Source: RNAcentral
GACGAACGCUGGCGGCGUGGAUUAGGCAUGCAAGUCGAACGGUAUCAUCCUUUCGGGGGUGAGAGAGUGGCGAACUGGUGAGUAACACGUAGGUUAUCUACCCUCAAGACGGGGACAACCCAGGGAAACUUGGGCUAAUACCGGAUGUGAGCAACUUUUAGUUGUUUGAAAGGUGGCGUAAGCUGUCGCUUGGGGAUGAGCCUGCGUCCUAUUAGUUAGUUGGUGAGGUAACGGCUCACCUAGGCAAUGAUAGGUAGGCGGCCUUAACGGGUGGUCGCCCACACUGGGAUUGAGAUACGGCCCAGACUCCUACGGGAGGCAGCAGUCGAGAAUAGUCUACAAUGGUCGGAAGACUGAUAGUGCGACGCCGCGUGAACGAUGAAUCCCUUCGGGGCGUAAAGUUCUUUUAUAUGUGAGCAGUGCUUCUUAUAUUAACAGUAUGGGGAGAGAGAUAUUAGCAUAUGAAUAAGCAACGGCUAACUCCGUGCCAGCAGCCGCGGU